CGCAUUCAGUUGCCGAUCGGGUGAAGCCGGGCGACUCUGGAAGGACUGCCAUCGACAAGAUGGAGGAAGGUGGGGACGGACGUCAAGUCAUCAUGGCCCUUAUGUCCAGGGCGACACACGUGCUACAAUGGCCGGCACAACGGGAAGCGAGUUCGCGAGGACGAGCGGAUCCCUUAAAGCCGGUCGCAGUUCGGAUUGAAGUCUGCAACUCGACUUCAUGAAGCUGGAAUCGCUAGUAAUCGCAGAUCAGCCAAGCUGCGGUGAAUACGUUCCCGGGCCUU
Molecule: ribosomal RNA, 281 nt
Filed under: uncultured Synergistaceae bacterium
Lineage: Bacteria; Thermotogati; Synergistota; Synergistia; Synergistales; Synergistaceae
Description: partial 16S ribosomal RNA
Rfam family: Bacterial small subunit ribosomal RNA
Source: RNAcentral